RNAcentral lists this long non-coding RNA (3071 nucleotides) under Homo sapiens (human). Its description in RNAcentral is "HSALNT0360955". The record is from RNAcentral. Lineage: Eukaryota; Metazoa; Chordata; Mammalia; Primates; Hominidae.
UCCUCUUUGGCUCUGGGAAUUUCUCCUCCCACGUGGAGGCCCCCACAGCAGUGGACACCACCCAGCCAGGCCCACCUGACCGGUCAGGCUCAAACCCUCUGGUACCCGCCCCACCCAUAGGACCAGGUGUAAACCAGGCAGCGACACCCCAGACGUGUGGUCUUGGUCAGCUCCCCUGGGCUCCUCUCCCUCCAGCUGGCCCUUCUCUGCCCAGGAAACAGUUUUCUGAAGAGUUCUCCGUUCUCGAGCCUUCCAGCUGCGUGGGAGAGAGUUGACCCCAAGGCUGGGACCACAAGAGGCCAGGGAGGGUGGGCCUGGGAUCUGCAGCUCACGGGCUGUGUGACUGUGGGCACGAGAUUUCAUUUCCUGAUUCAUAAAGGUGGGGACCGAUCAAAGCUACUCCUUGGACCUUUGUGAAGAUUAAAUGAGUUCAACACGGAGCAUUCUUGACCCAUGGGCCAUCCCCAGAUGAGGCUGCAGCAUUGCCCCGUGUGCUCUCAGCUGGUGCCAGUGUUGUCUGGAACUGUCUGGACCUACCUGGAAACUGAGUAUUUCUCUGAAGAAGUCUGCAGCCCUUUGGCAGCGUGGCUGCAGAUGGAAGGAAGGAAACAGUUCGCCCUGGAGAAUGGCUAGGCAGCACCUCUGAGCCGAGCAUCCCACCCGCUCUGACUGGCCCACAAUCGUGGGGCCAGUGGUAUCUCAGAGCCCUUCUGUAAGGAGGUCUGGUCCCCCGGCAUUCAGGGGUUCUGAGCUGCUCAGUUCUGGGAUAUGGGGAAAAGCCAGGAUUCUCCACCAUGCUGGCUGACGCCAUUUCUCUGUUCACCAGACCUACAGGGUUUUGUCACUUACAGUGAUUGCCAUGGUCUGAAUGCUUGUGUCCUCCUCGAAAGGUAGGUAUUGAAACCUAAUCACCAAGGUGAUGGUGUUGGGAGGUGGGACCUUCAAGAGGUGGCAAGGUCAUGGGGGCAGAGCCCUCAUAAAUGGAUUGGUGCCCUUAUGAAAGGGGCCCAUGGGAGCCUUGUUUGCCCCAUGUACGGGUGCAGCCGGAAGUUGCUGUCUGAGAGGAAACUGGCCUCCACCAAACACAGCUGGCACCUUGGUCUUGCACUUCCAGCCUCCAGAACUGUGAGACAUGUUUCUGUCAUUUAUAAGCCACCCAGAUCUUUAAUGAUAUUUUUGUUAUGGUAGCCCAAACAGACUAAGACAGAGACCAGAGAACACUUUGGCAGGCUACUUACGUGUUUUAGUCCUGGGGACACUUCAAUCAGUUAGACAUUCCCCAAAGUCCUACAGGGUGAAGGACACAGUUGCUGCCCUGGCCCUGUCACCCAUUGAGACCAGGACACCCCAUUGUGCUGGAGCUGCUACCUGGUUGCCAACACUCAGGCAGCCUGUUCAAUGAGAGCAACUUGCACCACUAUCUUGGUCCACAGAGCCUUCCAAGAUGCGGUGCCCUCCAUCAGCAUAUUGCCACGCCUUUCUCUCCCAGGAUGCAUUGCUGGGAUGGAUGAACAGGGCCAUGCGAUAAAUCCUCUAACGUUGCCACGUCUGUGCUUUUGCCUCCUUUCCUCUCCGUUGUAUGGAGGAAGUUCUGACAGCUCACUUCAUUUCACGUGGUGUGCAAGCUUCUGUCAAACAACGGAACAAACUAUGAGAACCACUUCCAGCCACUGCUUCUGCACACUUCUCUGCUAAGUGAGUCUCUGCUGUGUGAGUCUCAUUGGUAAAACUACCCUGAUCUAACAUUCUGUUACCUCCUUUGUGGUCCAACACUCCAAGAGUCCACGGCCUCAGACGCCCCUGGGUUUCUGCUGAUGUAAAUUGGCAAAAACUUGCAUUCAGUGUGUAUGUGGCUCCUCUUGGGUCUCACUGUGUGUUUAUCCCUCUGCACCCAACUCUAGUCAUGGCUCUGGGAAUAAUGAGGGUCGGUGGAGGUGGAUCUCAAGGGAGAUCUGUCAUCUUGCAAGGCUGUUUCCUCAAGUGAAGCCAUCACAGAUCUUUGGGCACAGUUUUACUCACCUCAGACUCUAAGGAAGAGUCACUUCUGCUUACAGGGAGACUCAGGAAGGUCUAAUGUUCAGGGGACUCAGAGUCAGAGAAAUCCACCCUCUCCAGUUCUCGAGGUCUCAUUCUUUCCAAAUAAAUGCCUUAACUUUGACUUAAGAGAUUUAGUAAGACAUUUAAUUAUUCUUUAGUUGUAAUUCAUUAGCCUGCAAGAUCAAAUUUGUACUCUGCAUUUAAAAAAAAAAGUUGACUCUACAGCUACAAGAACUAAAAUGGUUUUUUUAGGACAGCUAUAGAAGGGCUCUGGUUCUCUGUCUAUACCUUCAGCUGAGCACUUAAGGCCACAGCUUGUCAUUUUCUUUGUCAGUUCCCCAGUGCAAUAAGCAGCAGCCACCCCAUGCCACAUCCUUGUAUGCAUGGUUUCCAUCCACAUCCUAAUGUCCUAUUGCAAGAGCCCCCUGGUGUCUGAAACCCAGGCUUGUGAUGGGCACUGCAUCGCAGAGACCUCAAGGUAAUGAUUUUACCAGUGACAAUGUUUAUAGAUUAUCUGCAUCCUGCUUCCCACUCCUCACGUGGUCCUCACUGACAUCAGACAAAACCUGGUCUGUCCAAUUACUAACUCCAGAUUCCCAUCUUCAAGGUUCUGCCUUCCUGGAAACACUGCUGGUACCAGGAAUGGUUGGUCGGGAACACUAAAGUCACUCUAGGUAUUUUGGGUAGAAGGAGAUUCAUUGCAGGGAACUCUAGGCUUACAGAAAUGUUGAGAACUUUGGGGACUGAAGGUUAUUUCAGGAGAUCUGGAAGUGCAGGGAUAGAAGGGUAGCAUCCAUUGCCCCCUGAUAACUGUACCACUGACAUGGCUAGAAACCACCCCAGUGAUCCCAGCUGCUUGUAGCACCUCAGGGUGAUUCUCAAACUGACUCCAGAAGCCAAGGUACACUGCUGCCAAUGACUGCAGGGGCCUCUGCAAAACGGACGUUGAUGAAUGAAACAAAGUGUGAUCUACCCAUAGCAGGGAAUGUUAUUCAUCCUUAAAAAGGAAGGAAAUCCUGCAGCUCACGCCUGUC